Molecule: non-coding RNA, 1517 nt
Filed under: Pongo abelii (Sumatran orangutan)
Lineage: Eukaryota; Metazoa; Chordata; Mammalia; Primates; Hominidae
Source: RNAcentral
AUAGAAAACAAUUUUGUCUUGAAAAACAAGGACCCUUUUUCCCGUGUGGGACCAGUUCCUACUUAUGUUUUACCAGCCAAUUGGACUGGAACUUAUACAGUUGUUUAUUUAGCCCCAGAAAUUAAUAUAGCUCCCAACAACCAAUCCUUCAUUAUACUUUUAACUGCAACCACCAGACACAAAUGAGCCAUCCAACUGAUACCACUUUCGGUAGAGCUAGGAAUAACAGCAGGAGUAUGAAUGAGAGUUAGCAGCCUUGCAACUUCCCUAUCCUAUUACCAAUGCUUGUCCAAGGAUUUUAUGGAAAGCUUGGGUGACAUUGCCCAAAAGUAUCAUCACCUUACAAAAUCAUAUAGACUCUUUGGCAGUGGUAGCUUUGUAAAAUAGAAGGGGACUGGAUCUCCUAAAUGCUGAAGAAGGUGGCUUAUGUCUUUUUCCUAGAGGAAGAAUGCUGUUUUUAUGUCAACCAAACAGGAUUAGUAAGGGAUGCCACCCAAAAACUAGCCAAUUGGGACCAUAAGAUAUGACAACAGCUGUCUGAGUCAUGGGGCGCCUAGUCAAAAUGCUAAUUUGGGGUUCACAUCUCCUUCCUCUGGCCCAGUCCACUAUUAAUUAUUAUACUUGCCUUGGUUUUUGGAUCAUGUUUGUUAAAUCUUUUAACCAGAUUUAUUUCUUCUUGCCUAGAGACCAUUAUGCUAAUGCAGCAGGGCUACCAGCCAGUUUCAGAUAAUGAUGUCAACCUCGGCCAUCAAGAAGUAACCUUGUCUCCACUAGACAGAGCAGGUUGCGGGAAUUUAGCCAAUUCAGAGGUCUUGUUCUCCAUAAUCUGGAACUUUCCUUCAGAUUUGAUCAAGUUGGAUAAAGUUGGUCAAACCCAAUGGGAAAAAGAUGAAAACAACAAGAAACAGAAACAAACAACAACAACAACAACAAAACAGACCCCACACCUCCAGACCCUGCUGUGGGAGGGAGGGCCACCCAUUUCUAGUCCCAGUUCCUCCUCUAACUAUCCGUGUGACCUUAAACAAGGCCUUUCCCCUCUCUGGCCUCAGUAUCCGCCUCUGAACAAUGGGGCUGGUGCCUGCUGACCUUCUGGCCCUUUUCUGCUCUGUGAGUUUGUGAACUUGUGAUAGGGAGACAAGAGUCCUAGGAAACGGAAGGAGAGCACAUUUCACUCUGUCCAGCAGAGGGCAGCAGCCACCCACAAAUCAACAGCUGGACAAAGCCAGGGCUGUGCGGGAGCUAUGCACAGGUUCUGCCUCCAGAAGCCUUCAGUGCCAGCCUCUGAGCCAGAGGGUUCCAAGCAGAAGAGGUCCCACCCCUGGAGAAGAACCUCAGAGAGGUCCUCCAAGCCCCUCUCAGCUCUUACUUACGGCAUCCCAGAUGCCCUAUUCCUCUUCUGCAGACAGAAGGUGGGUCAGCCACUAAAUGGUGCUCGGACCUUGCAGCUUGGUGGGAAGGAGGAAGCUUAUUCAAGCAAGGAAGAUGACACAGGCAAAAACCGACGCAUAAGCCAA